GUGAAUCCCUGGUGAAGCAGGACAGCAAGCAGGUGCAGGUGGACCUCCAGGAUCUGGGCUAUGAGACAUGUGGCCGAAGCGAGAAUGAGGCCGAGCGGGAGGAGAGCACCAGUCCUGGUAGGAGCAUGAGGGCGGGGCUUACCUGUCCACCCACAUCUGGGAGAUGUUGGCCUGUCCCGCCCCUGAUGGGCUGAGGUUGGGGGUGGUGUUGAGGACUGAAGGGGACACAGGACCAGAGAGGGACAGGAGAGUCUGGCAGAGAACUCUUGCCCCAAACGAGGCUGAGCAUGAGUUUGAAUUUCUAUAAUUAGUUUUCAACAUACUGCCGUUAAUUAAAAGGAAAAAAAAAGUUCCAUCCAACAGAUUAUUAGAAAAAGCUUACUUUUUAAUGAAAAGACAAGAUGAGCUGUUGGGGACGUGCUAACCCUAAGUUUAAAAAAUUGUCCACAAUAAAAGUGCUUUGACUGUAGGCACACCCACCAAACAGAAAUCGUGAAGAGAAGAAAAAUGCUCAGUACAACAGAAGGUGACCAGACCCGACCUGCAGGGCCGUUGGGUGGGUAAGAAAUACGGUGUUUGAAUGCUAGGAGAGUGCAGGGCCGAAUAAAGUUCUGCUUCAACUUUUGCUCUAGUAAUGAUUAGCCCAGCCACAGAGCGGUUUUCAGCUACCGCAGGAUGUGCAGCUCUUCUCAGGAAGAUGUCUUUGUCUUUUCUCAGAGUGCGAGGAGCACCUGAUGGGCUCACCGCUGGCCAGCCCCCCUGGGAAAAAGCCCUUGGAGAGCCAUCGAGGGAAGCAGGAGUUCCAGGCGUGUGGAAAGUCAGAAGACAUCUCUGUCCUCCAUAAGGACAUCAGAGACCUGAAGACCCAGCUGCAGAACGCCAACAAGAUCAUUCAGAACCUCAAGAGCCGGGUGCGGUCCCUCUCAGUGACAAGCGAUUAUUCAUCUAGUCUGGAGAGACCUCGAAAGCUGAAGGCCGUUGGCGCCCUCGAGGGAUCCUCCCCUCAUAGUGUCACUGACGAGGAUGAGGGGUGGCUGUCCGAUGGCACUGGGGCUUUCUACCCCCCAGGGCUUCAGGCUAAAAAGGAUCUGGAGAGUCUGAUCCAGAGAGUGUCCCAGCUAGAGGCCCAGCUCCCGAAAACUGGAACGGAAGGGAAGCUGGCCGAGGAGCUGAGGUCAGCCUCGUGGCCUGGGUAAGGAGGGCACUCUUUGGACCCUUGUUUAACUGAUGCUGGCUAAGUUUGUGUUUGAGGCUGGGUAGCCCGGGCGGGUGGAAGAGAGAACCAGUCGGGGCAAUCAGCAGAGCACCUGUUAACAGGCUAGGCCUAGAUCUGAAGGAAGGACAGGUGGGCCCUGCUGGGAGACAGCAGCUCUCCGGCAUUUCAUCUCAGGAACCUGUUAGUAAAGUGACAGGAUAUGUGGUGUAGUAGUAAGACCGGCGUCAGACUCCCUGGGUUCGAAUCCUAGCUCUGGCACUUUCUAGCCAUACCACUUACUUGGACUUUCUGGGGCUACUUCUUUUUCUUUUCUUAAAAAAAAAAUUUUUUUUUAGUGGUUAUUUAUUAUUGAGAGACAGAGAGACAGAGCACAGGCAUGGGAGGGGCUGAGAGACAGGGAGACACAGAAUCUGAAGCAGGCUUCAGGCUCUGAGCUGUCAGCACAAAGUCUGGGCUUAUUUCUUUACCUAUUAAAUGAGGAUAGUAAGAGAACCUAUCUCAAAGCCUGGUUGUUAGGUUUAAAAGAAUUAGUACAGGGGUGCCUGGGUGGCUCAGUCAGUUGGGCCUCCGACUCUUGGUUUCGGCUCAGGGCAUGAUUUCACAGUUCGUGAGUUCAAGCUCCAUGUUGAGCUCUGCACUGGCGGCUCAGAGCCUGCUUGAGAGAGAUUCUGUCUCUCCCUCUGUCUACCCCUUCCCCACUUGUACACACACACACACACACACACACACUCUCUCUCUCUCAAAAAUAAGUCAGUAAACAUUUGAAAAACAGAAUUAGUAGAAGCACUUAUAAUUACAUAACACAUACUAAGUCCUCAAUACUAUUUACCAGAACUAUUAUUGGUAUUGGUACUUUGUGUUGAAAACACUGGGUAAACUUCCAUCUCGGUAUCUGUCCUUGCUAUCUGCACUGAGUGUCAAACCACUUAAAAAGCUUAGUGGCCUCAAACAAUAGUUUAUGUGGAUUGGGCUCAGCAGGGUGGUUUUCACUGGGGGCAUCUCUCAUGCAGUUGCCAUCAGAUGGUGGCUGGGGCUGGAGUCAUCUGAAAGUCCUGAGUGGGCUGGGCGUGGCUUCUUCAAUCACACAUCUAGUGAUGCGGUGCUCCUUGGCUUCUCUCUUUCUCCAUGUGGCUUCUUGUCUUCUGGGGUGUUUCUUCCUGGUGGUGGCCUCUCAUAGUAUGGUGGUCUCGGGGUAGUUGCCCUUCUGCAUGGCAGCUGGCUUCCAACAGACCGGAAAUGGUCGUUGCCAGGACAGUUAAGAGCUAGGCUUGGCACCGUAUCACUUCCACUAUAGUAUCUUGGUCAUAGUGGUCACAGAGCUUGCCCACAUUUAAGGAGGUGGAGAAUAGCCUCUACCUGCUAAUGAAAGAAGAGGCAAAGGCAUGUUGCCAGACACUGUGUGGAACCGGAACUUGUGUAAUGGCCAUCUGUAGAUGGUCUUUGAAACAGAAGGCAUGAAAGAUUCCACCCAGACUCAGGACUAAGUCAUUCUAAUCACUGAAUUUAUUUUUUAGUAUUUAUUGGGUAUCUAUUUAGUGUUUAUUGAGUACCAACUGUGAGUCUACACUCUACUAGUCCUGGAAGCAGUAUAAACUUUGGCACUGUCUUGACCUUAGAACUUAGGAUCUGUUUGGACAUACGACUAAUAUGUAUAAAACAGUGUCAGAACAAUGGCAUACUAAGUUGUUGUCGUCAUUUGUCAGAGCAGGAUUUACUCUUAAAUACCAUCUUUGAGGGGCGCCUGGGUGGCUCAGUCUGUUAGGCAUCCGACUUCGGCUCAGGUCAUGAUCUCACAGUUCGUGAGUUCGAGCCCUGCGUUGGGCUCUAGUGCUGACAGCUCAGAGCCUGGAGCCUGCUUCACAUUCUGUGUCUCCCUCUCUCUCUCUCUGCCCCUUUCCUGCUCAUGCUGUGUCUCUCUCUGUCUCAAAAAUGAAAUAAACAUUAAAAAAAUUUUUUAAAAAAUACCAUCUUUGGUUUAUGUGCCAGAAUUCAGCUUGUGGGAGCUCCUUAGAGAUAUUCUCACAGAAAUCUCUACAGAGGCCCCAGGAUUUAAUAUUCACUCUUUUUCAUUCUUUUUCCUCUUCUCUCCUGCAUUAGGAAAUAUGAUUCCCUGAUUCAGGAUCAGGCCCGAGAACUAUCCUACCUACGCCAGAAGAUAAGAGAAGGGAGAGGUAUCUGUUAUCUUCUCACCCAGCAUGCAAAAGAUACGGUAAAAUCUUUUGAGGACCUUCUUAGGAGCAAUGACAUUGACUACUACCUGGGGCAGAGCUUCAGGGAGCAACUUGCCCAAGGAAGCCAGCUGACAGAGAGGCUUACCAGCAAACUCAGCACCA
RNAcentral lists this long non-coding RNA (3549 nucleotides) under Lynx pardinus (Iberian lynx). The record is from RNAcentral. Lineage: Eukaryota; Metazoa; Chordata; Mammalia; Carnivora; Felidae.